AUACGUAGGUGGCAAGCGUUGUCCGGAAUUAUUGGGCGUAAAGCGCAUGUAGGCGGUUUGGUAAGUCGGUCGUGAAAAUGCGGUGCUUAACGCCGUAUGGCGAUUGAAACUGCUGAACUUGAGUGCAGGAGAGGAAAGGGGAACUCCCAGUGUAGCGGUGAAAUGCGUAGAUAUUGGGAAGAACACCGGUGGCGAAGGCGGCUUUCUGGACGGUGUCUGACGCUCAGAUGCGAAAGCCAGGGGAGCGAACGGGAUUAGAUACCCCGGUAGUCCUGGCCGUAAACGAUGGGUACUAGGUGUGGGAGGUAUCGACUCCUUCCUUGCCGGAGUUAACGCAAUAAGUACCCCGCCUGGGGAGUACGGCCGCAAGGCUUAAACUCAAAUGAAUUGACGGGG
RNAcentral lists this ribosomal RNA (396 nucleotides) under uncultured bacterium. Its description in RNAcentral is "partial 16S ribosomal RNA". It matches the Rfam family "Bacterial small subunit ribosomal RNA", at positions 523 to 918 of the family's 1533-position model. The record is from RNAcentral.